UGGGGUAAUUUUCCGCAAUGGGCGAAAGCCUGACGGAGCAAUGCCGCGUGGAGGUGGAAGGCCUACGGGUCGUCAACUUCUUUUCUCGGAGAAGAAACAAUGACGGUAUCUGAGGAAUAAGCAUCGGCUAACUCUGUGCCAC
This 142-nucleotide ribosomal RNA is filed under the name uncultured bacterium. RNAcentral's name for it is "partial 16S rRNA". It matches the Rfam family "Bacterial small subunit ribosomal RNA", at positions 354 to 511 of the family's 1533-position model. The record is from RNAcentral.